Lycium ferocissimum is the source of this 740-nucleotide long non-coding RNA. RefSeq lists it as uncharacterized. NCBI's taxonomy places the organism in Eukaryota, Viridiplantae, Streptophyta, Magnoliopsida, Solanales, Solanaceae. The record is from RefSeq and is a predicted model, not a curated record. The transcript is spliced from 3 exons.
UAACCAAACGACCCCUACACUCCUCUUCAACCAAGCGUAACCCUAACCAGCCCCUAGCCAAAAUUGUCGUCACUUCCAUCACGUCGCCUCACCACCACCACACCCGUCGGACCACCGGAUAAAGAACAAACAUCACCUCCGCUAUCAACCCCAGUCCCUUUCUCCCAUUUUCUCCAAGUGAUAGAGCUUCGAACAGCUCGUCCAAGUCGAAUCAGCCCCCCAGAUCGAAAAGCACGCGAAUAUCUUUGGGAUUUUAGGCCGUUCUUCCAACAAUCCAUAGGGUAAAGGCUCGUUUCAAUCUGUUGGAGCCUAAAACCAUGAAGAAACCACUAGAUUCGGACCUCUAGCCUUCAAAUCGCUCUGAAAUGGAUUGCUUUAAGCGGGUUCGGAGACUAGACAACGACACUAGCCUCAGUUCGCUGUCCCAAAGAAGGUGGACAGGGAGAUAGACUUGAUCCUUAAGCUGCAUAUCCAGAGAUUGCCUAGAGGAGCUCCAUUUGAUCCGGAGCUGCAGCUGUUGGUACUAUUCUUUUAUGUAUAUACAUAUGGGCAUGGCGGGGCCCUGUCCCGCCUAUAUGAUGAUGUUUCAUACUCUUCUUAGAGGCUCGUAGACAGUUGUGUAUAGCUAGAUGUCCCUUAGCCUUAUCGGCUCGUAUUUUGUAUAUCAUUUUAUUAGCCUUGUUGGCUUGCAUAUAUAUAUGUGUACGGGCAUAGUUGAGGAUGUAUAAGUAAAAGUUCCU